Non-coding RNA from Diaporthe helianthi, 83 nucleotides. Lineage: Eukaryota; Fungi; Ascomycota; Sordariomycetes; Diaporthales; Diaporthaceae. The record is from Rfam.
GGGGACGUGGCGCAAUGGCUAGCGCAUCUGAUUCCAGUUCAUGAAACUCCAGAAGGCUGUCCGUUCGACUCGGGCCGUCCUCA